This is a long non-coding RNA of Sorghum bicolor (sorghum), 2069 nucleotides long. RefSeq lists it as uncharacterized. The transcript has 9 exons. NCBI's taxonomy places the organism in Eukaryota, Viridiplantae, Streptophyta, Magnoliopsida, Poales, Poaceae. The record is from RefSeq and is a predicted model, not a curated record.
CUGACCUCUCCUUCCGCAUGCUGCAAGCCCGCAAACUUCUCAGCACCCUUGCGCAACAUGCGACUCUUCGGCCUCCAUCUCGCAUCUCGCAUCUCGUAAAAAAAUAUCCUCGAGCUCCACGCCAUUUACUCCUUCCGCAGGACGUUGCCUUCCACGAACGCCGCCUUGCACACGACGAUCGAGGGCUCAGGCUGACGGCGAGUGUGGAGGCCUCCAGACAACGGCAGCUCGACGGCGCCGGCCAAGGCCUCCGGGCAACUGCACCGCCCAAAGGGCUCCAGCGGCCGGGCAACUGCGCCGGCCAAAGGGCUCCAGCAGCCGGCGCCGGCGCCGGCCAAGAUCUCCAUCCGGUGCACGCAGACCCAGGCUCAACAUCCGGUGGCUUUGCGGCAGGGGCGUGCGGACAAGCGGCCAUCAAUGGGUUGCGUGCAGAGCGACUGAACAGACAUCGGUGUGUCGUGCACCGUGCGGCCCUGCAGCGAGGCGUGCAGCCAAGCCACAGCAACAACGACGCAGAAAGCCAGGGAAAUUGUACUGUAAUUUAUGUUAUCUACCAUGGAGGAGAGACGAGAAACCCACACUGCAUUUAGCAACAUAUCAAACAUCAUCGGACCAAGUGUAGAUAAUGAAUUGAGAAAGAGGGAAGAGAGCAAUAAGAAAUAACGGGAAUACCGAGCAUGGAAAAGGGCCGAAGAAAGUAAUGAACAAAGAGAGGAGCGAAAUAGAAAGCAACGUGAAUACCGUGCAAAGAAAAAAAGCUUUGGCAGGUAACGACGUCUGGACAUGCAAAUCAUGUACAGUCAGAUUCCGGGUGCACAGAUGUUGACAUGACAGAUGUGGUAGGAAGACAGUCACCAGAGGAGAGUGAUGUUUCAGCCAUCUACAAAGGAUCGAAACAUCAUGGUAAAGAAAAUGAUGAUCCAAAUGAGUCCAGCCACUGGCUACAUAGGAACGAUGACUAUAUGAGGCAAAAAACGGCCGCCAUUCCGGCUGUGCCAGACUGAAAGUUCAAACGGCAUCAUAAUAAAUUCAGGUGGUUAUUCGAACACUGCUAGACAGCUGACAAAACAAAACUGGUACCUGAAUAUGGAUGCGCCGAGCAAGGAGAAAUUGCUGCAGGAGAGGCGGGAAUAUAAGAAGGCAAAAGCAGAAGAAAACAAACAACAAUCCCGCCCUGCCAUUGCCCAAGAAAAAAAUAUUAUACCUAACAAUGACGUCGAGUUUGAUAGUGAUUUAUUCAAGCCAGGAGACCCUGAUUCAGAUGAUGAAGAUCAUCUAUGUGACCUAGAGGGAGAGGACGGAUGGGACAUAGGAGACACUCUCGGAGAUGUUGAGUCCAUACAGAUGCAUGGUGAAGAAUGUGUGUUCGAGUCAUACCGUAUCAAUUAUGAGAGCAUGGGCCAUGAAGCCGCUGAUGAUCCUUAUGACUUCGUCUACCAUAACUAUAAAAUAUUUAUUCAGGUAUAACGCUCCUGCUGCCUCACAAGUUGCUGCUAUCUGGACCCAUGGAAAUGAUCCCCAAAAAUGUUUUGAUAGGAGUGUUAUAGUAUACCCCAAAGGAGAAAAGAUGCGCUAUAUCAAAGCAUAUCAUUGUUUUUAUGAUCCAUUAGCAUAUCCUAUAUUUAAUCUUAGAGGAGAGACUGGAUGAAACCAAUUCAUGUCGUACAAUGAUAGUCCCACAAAUUCGUCAUCUCCUAACAAUGAGGAGCAUUCAGUACCAGAACCUGAAGAGAAUGGUGAAUGAGACAACGACAUACAACAAGCACGCUAACAGUUGGUUGCAAGAUUCUAAUUUGUAAGAGAGUGACCAUCAUAUUACAAGUUUGGAGAUGAAGUGAGGAGCAGAGGGAUGAAAGCACAUGCUUAAAAGGUUACAAACCACUAAAUAUUACCUUGUAUCUUAUAAUAACAAUCAUGAAAUUAUGCCAAUGUUUUGGGAUGGUAUGCCCAUGUUACUUCCCUGUAAAUAAUAGUUUAUUAGGUGAAAUGUGGAUAUACAAAAUAUGGGAAGCUGUUGGUGCAAAAGUAAUUCUGCAAACACAAAGGGCUAAUACCCGAUUUGAUGUUAA